Molecule: ribosomal RNA, 434 nt
Filed under: uncultured bacterium
Lineage: Bacteria
Description: bacterial SSU rRNA
Rfam family: Bacterial small subunit ribosomal RNA
Source: RNAcentral
UGAGGAAUAUUGGUCAAUGGGCGGGAGCCUGAACCAGCCAAGCCGCGUGAGGGAUGAAGGCCCUAUGGGUCGUAAACCUCUUUUGUCAGGGAACAAAAGCGAGUAUGUAUACUAGUCUGAGUGUACCUGAAGAAAAAGCACCGGCUAACUCCGUGCCAGCAGCCGCGGUAAUACGGAGGAUGCGAGCGUUAUCCGGAUUUAUUGGGUUUAAAGGGUGCGUAGGCGGCGAUGCAAGUCAGCGGUAAAAGCCCGGGGCUCAACCCCGGCGAGCCGUUGAAACUGCAGUGCUAGAGAAGGCGAGAGGUACGCGGAAUGCGCAGUGUAGCGGUGAAAUGCUUAGAUAUUGCGCAGAACUCCGAUUGCGAAGGCAGCGUACUGGCGCCUGACUGACGCUGAGGCACGAAAGCGUGGGGGAUCGAACAGGAUUAGAUACC